CCUACGGGAGGCAGCAGUGGGGAAUAUUGCGCAAUGGGCGAAAGCCUGACGCAGCGACGCCGCGUGAGGGAUGAAGGUCUUCGGAUCGUAAACCUCUGUCAGCAGGGAAGAACGGUCACUGUGCUAAUCAGCAGUGAAUUGACGGUACCUGCAAAGGAAGCACCGGCUAACUCCGUGCCAGCAGCCGCGGUAAAACGGAGGGUGCGAGCGUUAAUCGGAAUUACUGGGCGUAAAGCGCUCGUAGGCGGUAUGUCAAGUCAAGGGUGAAAUCCCCGCGCUCAACGUGGGAACUGCCUUUGAAACUGGCAAACUGGAGUGUGUGAGAGGAUAGUGGAAUUCCAGGUGUAGGAGUGAAAUGCGUAGAUAUCUGGAGGAACAUCAGUGGCGAAGGCGACUAUCUGGCACAUAACUGACGCUGAGGAGCGAAAGCGUGGGUAGCAAACAGGAUUAGAUACCCUGGUAGUC
RNAcentral lists this ribosomal RNA (465 nucleotides) under uncultured bacterium. Its description in RNAcentral is "partial 16S ribosomal RNA". It matches the Rfam family "Bacterial small subunit ribosomal RNA", at positions 338 to 795 of the family's 1533-position model. The record is from RNAcentral.